UCACCGUUUGCACGGGCAGUUUCGUUAGAGUUCCCGACUUUCUCGCUGGCAACAUAGGACGAGGGUUGCGCUCGUUUACGGACUUAACCGCACACCUCACGGCACGAGCUGACGACAGCCAUGCAACAAGUGUCUUCAUGUCCCCUUGUGAGGGAGGGCCCGAUCUCUCGGGCUUACAAUCGAUGUCAAACCUGGGUAAGGUUCUUCGGUUAGUAUCGAAUUAAUCCACAUGCUCCACCGCUUGUGCGGGUCCCCGUCAAUUCAUUUGAGUUUCAACCUUGCGGCCGUACUCCCCAGGCGGGAUACUUAGUGCGUUAGCUGCGGCACAAGAGGGGUCGAUACGGCAUACAGCUAGUAUUCAUAGUUUACGGCGUGGACUAC
RNAcentral lists this unclassified non-coding RNA (381 nucleotides) under uncultured Armatimonadota bacterium. Its description in RNAcentral is "uncultured Armatimonadetes bacterium contains 16S-23S intergenic spacer region". Lineage: Bacteria; Bacillati; Armatimonadota. The record is from RNAcentral.